CUGACGUUAGCGGCGGACGGGUGAGUAACACGUGGGUAACCUACCUAUAAGACUGGGAUAACUCCGGGAAACCGGGGCUAAUACCGGAUAAUACAUGAAACCGCAUGGUUUAAUGAUGAAAGACGGUUUUGCUGUCACUUAUAGAUGGACCCGCGGCGUAUUAGCUAGUUGGUAAGGUAACGGCUUACCAAGGCAACGAUACGUAGCCGACCUGAGAGGGUGAUCGGCCACACUGGAACUGAGACACGGUCCAGACUCCUACGGGAGGCAGCAGCC
This 276-nucleotide ribosomal RNA is filed under the name uncultured Staphylococcus sp. RNAcentral's name for it is "partial 16S ribosomal RNA". It matches the Rfam family "Bacterial small subunit ribosomal RNA", at positions 86 to 355 of the family's 1533-position model. Lineage: Bacteria; Bacillati; Bacillota; Bacilli; Caryophanales; Staphylococcaceae. The record is from RNAcentral.